GUCGUUAUAGUAUAGUGGUAAGUAUUUUCGUCUGUCACGCGGACGAUCCGGGUUCGAUCCCCGACAACGGCG
RNAcentral lists this transfer RNA (72 nucleotides) under Prunus dulcis (almond). RNAcentral's name for it is "tRNA tRNA.Asp". It matches the Rfam family "tRNA". From Rfam's summary of the family: Transfer RNA (tRNA) molecules are approximately 80 nucleotides in length. Their secondary structure includes four short double-helical elements and three loops (D, anti-codon, and T loops). Lineage: Eukaryota; Viridiplantae; Streptophyta; Magnoliopsida; Rosales; Rosaceae. The record is from Rfam by way of RNAcentral.